Long non-coding RNA from Varroa destructor (honeybee mite), 1373 nucleotides. RefSeq lists it as uncharacterized. The record is from RefSeq and is a predicted model, not a curated record. NCBI's taxonomy places the organism in Eukaryota, Metazoa, Arthropoda, Arachnida, Mesostigmata, Varroidae.
GCGACGAAAGGUUUCGACUGCUGCCAUACAGAUAUUAACCCUUAGCUCAUCUCCCUAUCUGGUCUUCAUACUCUCCGUUAGUAAAACUGAACACAAUACACUAUCGGAAACGAAAUUAAAUUUCAAACGGACAGGAAUGAGGUUCCUCGAGUCCAGCUGAGAGCUCUCCUGUGAGGAUUAUAAUGUCUACACUCCUCGCCUAUGAGGGAAAAAAUAUUAUACAGCACAUAUACGCUGAUAGAUGUAGAGGGUUCAUUCCAAAUUGGAGUCACUGCGUAUGCUUUCUGUGAGAGACCAUCUGCCGAAGCAAUCGAAAACAAAGGACCCCGGCACGAAAUGGGUCUAUGUUGUAGCCGGCCGUCGAAGGGUGUUGCUACGGCUCGUGUUCAUCAAGUUUAGUUCAAGAAUUGAUUCUUCCAGUUCGUUUCAAAUAGGCCAUAACCUAUUUUGUCGUAGAAUCGACAAAGAUACGGUACUAUGUUUUGAAAAACGUAGAUCAUCAAGUGACGUAUCUGCGUAGAUUUUGAUAUCAGUUGUGGCGGCUUGGACAAUCGGGGAAGGUCGAAAAAAGAUCGGCUGAAAGUUAAGUUAACGAAAUUGUGAUGACAAUGCGAAAAUGCUCGAGGUACGUCUAUAGCAUGUCCAGAGAGGAGUUAGCCGCAAAGUAUGCCCUCCUAUGCUUACGUACGUGUGCGCGUCAUCAGCCGUCCUUGGAGUAACUCAGGCUGAACUAUUGUAUAUACAAACAAUCUGAUAUGUACUUAUGUAUUCGAUGCCAGACGCGGUAUCGUAACACCUAAACUGCUUUCAAGGCGGGCCAAUCAACAACGAGUCUGCCUUGGUUGCUUCGCUUACUUGCAACAGGCGUAAAGCAAAGUCUGAUUAUUACAUUACUAGAUACUGACUUCUUUUUGCCUGCUUAGUGCAUAUUUCCAAUCGUCUUCGUCAAGGAGAGCACGUUCUUCGCAGUAACGUCAAAUGAUGUCCUUCUGCCAGGGCUUCUUAUAGAUCAACCAAUGGCAAGGUGAGACCGCCUUCGAAAGAGACAUGCGUUAGAGACGUUUCCAGUAAACAGCAUUUUGUUAUCAGUUAUGGCAAACCUUGUUGCUAUGGAUGCUGUAAAAGCUGUCGUAUCUCCAUAUACUGCUGUUAUGUUCUAGCCUUAAAAGUAAAGGCAUACCAAUCAUGAGACGUUUUACAUCUACAUCCAAACCAAUAAAAGGUCAAUCUGUGUAGGACAUUUAGGACACACUGCUACAAAUGCCAUUGUGUGGUGUGCAAUCGCCUGGAAAGGCCGGGUUCAAUCCCACAAGCAGAUUGAUGGGUGCAUAUUUUUAUGCUGUAUUGUUUUCUUUCUUGACAGCCAAAUAUUG